Long non-coding RNA from Physella acuta, 410 nucleotides. RefSeq lists it as uncharacterized. The record is from RefSeq and is a predicted model, not a curated record. NCBI's taxonomy places the organism in Eukaryota, Metazoa, Mollusca, Gastropoda, Physidae.
CGUCUGUUUGUGUUGUUUACCGAACGCCCCAACCGUCCAGGUGCACCCGGCCACCUCACCCACCCCCAUAGUGAUGACGUGUUCGGGUCCAACUCAUCCCUUGGUGAUUCUGUGCUCUCAGGAAGUAGUACAGACUUUGACGAGAGACGCUCGAGGGCCAGACGCCACAAGAGGAACCAACUUGCCCGCCAGCUGACGGCCGACUCGGUCAAGACGUACAGCAGUAGCGCAGACGUGGACAACAUCGUCAGUCUGGAGUCAGAUAAAAAACAGCACAGCCCAGCCUUGUCUAAGGGAAGUAAGCAGGACAUCAAGGGCAAUAAUCAUGUUGGUAGAUACGAGAAGAGAGUCAAGAACGUCGAGAGAGUAAGAGAACCGGAGGUCAGAGGUCAAGGGAAGAGUAAAGAGAA